CGACGUCACCGCAGCCUGCGACCAAUCAGCGGCUCGCGGUCCCUCUGUAAACCAUUCUGCAUCCCCCGGCCGGGGAGAGUGCCGGGAGACCGCGUUUAGAGGAUCAGUGGCGGCCGCAUCCGCCGCCCGGCGCGGUGCGGGCGGCGGGCAGCGAGGUGCCCGAGCCCCUCCUGCUCCGCAAGAAAGGAAAGAGCAAGGUGUAGCUGAUUAGCAAGUUAAUUAUUUCAGUAUCCCAAGGGUUCCGGUUUAGUGGUAAGUUGCCCAGCCCUGGUGUAAUUUCACAGUCCGUGCAUUUCCUGGUGAGCACCUGGGGCGCCCGGGUCUGUCUCUCUCUCCAACCACCAGCCUCCUGUCUUCUUGACACACCUGGGGAGAUGGGCAGGGCUGAAGAGGAAGAUGGCACAGUGCACACAUUUGGCCUGGGCCGCACGUGGGGGGCCAGCAAGAGAACACAGUGGAGGAAUCCUCUACCGCCACUGGGUGUUUAAUUAUCUGGCCUUUCCUUUUUUUUUUUUUUUUUUAAUCUUUUGUUUAAUAAAUAUUAAUGAAGCAGAUUAUCAGAAAGUGGAGGAGCUAUGAGGUUAUUUUCUCCACACUCAGUGUGCAGAGCCACCAGGCACGAGGGGGGCCCUUUUGCCUCUCCCUCCUCCGAGCCCUUGCCAAUCUCUCCAGCAGUCAGGUUUGCUUUCUUAACUCUGCCCACCACUUGGUCUGCGAAGGCCUCCUCUAGUCUGACUUCAAGGUCUGAUUUCCCCUUGCGGGAGAGGAUUGUGUGGUCAAAUGGACGAUUCCCUCUGAGAGAUAAGUUGGGGAUAUGAGCAUGAGCCCCAGAACCAGCAGCUUCGGCCACUCUGCUCUCCAGGGCUGGAAGGGCCAGCCCCCUGCCGCUCCUCCUGAGGUGGACGGAGGGAGGGCUCUGCCGUUUACUUAAGACUGGUCCCAUCUGCUCAGACUGGCCUUUCAUAAGGGGAGGGAUUUAUGCAGUGUCCUUGUGCACAGACCUGGGAUUUGCCCGAAAACCUCGGACCUCCGAGAAUAUUGUUGAACGCUAAAAUGUUCAGCCACGGAGAUGAUUUACGAUUUGUCUGCAUGGACAGGGUGUGUGUGUGUGUGUGUGUGUGUGUGUGUGUCUUUGUUGGGGAGAGGCACAAACAUUGAUGGGUGCUUUUCACCAUUCCUACUUCUAAAUCCAAACAUUAGGAAACUUCUUUUUCUGUAUUUAACUCAGGAAGCAGCCCACGACAUCAGGCUCUGGAGAGCCAACUUCUUGACUUCAGUGAUGUGAAGAUGGUCUAAUACGUUUUUGGUGCCGGCAAGCAGCUGUCCCCCAAGCAGGGGAAUUUCUCCAGAGUCUGUGGUGCCCGGAGGACAUGGCCGGGGCACCCCACAACUCGCCACAGUCCUUCAUCCAGUGUACAGGACCUCAGGGAGCACUCAGUGAAUCCUGCCAACUGAAUCCAGGAGAAAAGCAGAGACAUCACCCUUCGCAUUAAUACCAGGAGCAUAUCUCCAAAUAACAGUGACAACUCAAACACGCCCUUCUCCUGUUUCCAACUUCUUCCAAGUGGAGUGGGGAUUCGAAACCAGCCCAACUGUCCACACACUGCCUGGCACAUGCUCUCAAUCUGGGGCGCGGCUUUGAAAGAAGGUUGCUAAGCCUGCUAAAUCCUAGUGCACACCAACACCCCAUUCAUCUGGAAACCUGGCAGAGUGGCAAGCAUGCAUGUGCACAUGCUCAAGUUGUGGGGAGGGGCAGAGAGAGAGAGAGAGAAUCUUCACCCGCCUCCAGUAAGCCUGAUGCAGGGCUCUAUCUCACAACCCUGAGAUCAUGACCUGAGCUGAAAUCAAGAGUUGGAUGCUUAACUGACUGAGCCACCCAGGUUCUGUAUCAUAUGGCCAGGCCCAUUGCCCAAGACGAUAUUCAUAGAGAAUCUGCUUCAGGCACAAAGACACAGUCCUGUCACCAUCCCUCAUGGGACUUAAUUUCAACCCUCUUCACCCUCUUUCUUGCCCUCCCUGCGCUUGUUCCCUUUUGUCCAAAAACCUCUUGAGAUGCGGCAUUGGAACAGGAUAAGACUAUCACCUUCCUUUGCCUAGAACCUAGAAUCUGGGUUGGAAUCCAAGACCACGUUAUUGGGGCCCAUAUCUCAACCCUAGGAAACAUUUUACCGUGGGAGACAAAGUGGGGAAUGGGCAAAAUUCUUCUUAAAUUCUGUUUUACAUUUAAAUAAAGUCUGCCAAGGGGCACCUGGGUAGCUCAGUCGGGUGUAUCCGACUCUUGAUUCCAGCUCAGGUUAUGAUCUUGGGGUCAUGAGAUUGAGUCCUGAGUUGGGGUCUGUGCUGAGCGUGGGGCCUGCUUGGGAUUCUCUCUUUCCUUUUCCUUCUGCCCCUCCCCCUGCUUGCACUCUCCCUCUAAAACAAGGAAAAAAAAGUCUGUUCAAAAAAUCCUACCAUAAACAAAGUCCAAACACAAAUGAUAAGCUGGGGAAAAGUUAUUUGUAACUCAUAUCGUGGGCUAAUUUCCUUAAUAGAUAAAGAGAAUCCACAAAUCAAUAUGAGAAAGAUCUACAACCUGAAAGAAAUAGGAGCAAAGGAUAGCAGGAAAUUGACAGAGAAGGACCUGAAAAUUGUUCUUAAAUAUAUGAAAAGAUGUUUAACUUCAUUCAUCAUAAGAGUAAUGCAGAAUUUUUCACCUGUCACAUUACAUUGGCAAAGAUCAAAAAGUGUGAUAACGUUCUGUCAGUCAAGGGAAAGGAAACAGACACUCUCCUAUAUUGUGGGGGCAAACUGGAGAAAUCUCUCUGGGGGGAAAUGUGGCUUUAUCUGCUAAAAUUUAAACAUGCAGAAACAUUUUGAUUUGGGAUUCCACCUCUAGGAAUGUAUCCUGCAGACUGACUGACGCAUGCAGGUCAGAAGAUGUGCUCAACAAGGGCGGAAACUUUCUCCUAUUUUGUCACUUCUCUCUCUCUGGCACCUGGAUGGCUGCCCAGGACAUAGUAGAUACUCAAAAAAUGUCUACUGAAUGAAUGAAUGAAUGAAUGAAUAUGGAAAAGGACACAUAUUCAAAGUUAUUUGUUGCAAAAUUUUUGGUAAGAGCCAAAACCCAGAAAUAAUGUAGAUGUCUAACUACCAUGGAAUAGUAUAUUGGUGUUAAGAAGAUCAGGGCAGCUCUCCAUGUACCGAUCCGUAAGAACCUCCAAGAUAUUAAUCUUAUUAAGUGAGAAAAGCAGGGUGUAGAAAAAUGUGCAUAAUAAGAGCACAUCUAGAUAUUUGCUUCUCUCUCUAAGAACAUCUCUGGAAGGAAGCUCCCAAGGCAGCCAUCAUGCUUGCUUCUCGGUAGAGGAACUGGGAUCGUGGAGGAUGGUGUUAGGAGUAGCUUUACUUUUCAGUGUAUUCUCUUAGAUUCCUUUAAUUGUAGGUCAGACGAAAGUACUACCUAUUCAAAUAAACAAAUACAAUUCACAAUUUAAAAGGAGCUGGGGGGCACCUGGGUGGCUCAGUGGGUUAAGUGCCUGCCUUCAGCUCAGGUCACCAUCCCAGGGUCCUGGGAUCGAGCCCCAUAUCAGGCUCCCCGCUCAGUGGGGAUCCUGCUUCUCUUGCUAUCUCUGUUGUUAUCUCUGUCUCUCUCUCAAAUAAAUAAAAUC
Long non-coding RNA from Mustela lutreola (European mink), 3644 nucleotides. RefSeq lists it as uncharacterized. The record is from RefSeq and is a predicted model, not a curated record. NCBI's taxonomy places the organism in Eukaryota, Metazoa, Chordata, Mammalia, Carnivora, Mustelidae. The transcript is spliced from 6 exons.